This is a long non-coding RNA of Dendrobium catenatum, 834 nucleotides long. RefSeq lists it as uncharacterized. The transcript is spliced from 3 exons. The record is from RefSeq and is a predicted model, not a curated record. Lineage: Eukaryota; Viridiplantae; Streptophyta; Magnoliopsida; Asparagales; Orchidaceae.
AUUGCUCGCUUCGUGGGAAUAGGUUUAGCUUGUUCUGUUCCGGGAAUAAUGAAGUUUGCCUGUUUUUAUGUACGUUGUUAAUUUUCUUUUCCUGUACGUGUAAUGGAAUACGGGUAAAAUUUUUAUUUUCUCUGUAGAUGUAAUUAGUGAGUUUUCAUAUAUUAUUGACAGGCUCAUGCAUAUAACAAUUUUGGGCCUUUGAGUGCUUACCUUUCUGUAAAUUAUCUGGAUAGAUUCCUGUCAUCCUAUGAGCUCCCUAAAGGAAAAAUCUGGAUGGCUCAAUUAUUAGCAGUAGCUUGCUUGUCUUUGGCUGCCAAAAUGGAGGCGGCGACGGUCCCUCUAUUUCUUGAUCUGCAGGUGGGGGAGGCCAAGUUUGUUUUUGAGGCUAGGACUAUAUAGAGAAUGGAGCUUCUUCUAUUGAGUACUCUGAAAUGGAGAAUGCAAUUGGCGUUCUGGAUGCUGCAUACUUGAGCUACAAAAGGGAAGAAAUGACUUGUUCGUCACAGCCAAGCUCUCACCACUCCUCUCCAGCAGAAAAAAGAAGGAAAAUUAGCGGGCCUUCUUUUUUAUGAAGGGACGAAAGUUCCCCUUUUUUUGUUUCUAUACUCAUAAUGGUUAGAAAAGCUUUAAGUUUCAGGACAAUUUAGUUGAUUUGAUAAUGAGAUGAAAAAAAAUGACAAAAAUAAUGAAGAUGGAGGUAUGGAUCAGUUGAAAUGGCAAAAUGGAAGUAAUGUAUCUUUUGGUUUAAAUCGAUUUGGCAUAAACAUGCGGCUAUUCGGUAUUCUGUAUUCCUUUACAAUGCCAGGGAAAUCUUCAUUCUAUUCGUUGUUGCUA